Oncorhynchus keta (chum salmon) is the source of this 3600-nucleotide long non-coding RNA. RefSeq lists it as uncharacterized. The transcript has 3 exons. Lineage: Eukaryota; Metazoa; Chordata; Actinopteri; Salmoniformes; Salmonidae. The record is from RefSeq and is a predicted model, not a curated record.
UUGGAGGUAGCGAUCUCUACAAUCAAGGGAGUGGCAAUUAGUUGUCAUGGUGCGGCAGCUGCAGUGAUCUCUCCUUCUUCGAAUAUUGGAUUAGAAAAAGUGGAUUUUCGAUUCGUGUGGCUAUUAGCGAUGAUUGUAUGAGAUUAUUCCUCGAGUUCCUGAGUGGCGCAGCGGUAUAAGGCACUGCAUCUCUAGUACUAGACGCGUCAUUACAGACACUGCGAUUUGAUUCCAGGCUGUGUCACAAUCGUCCGUAAUUGGGAGUCCCAUAGGGCGGCGCACAAUUUGCCCAACGUCGUCCGGGUUUGACCGGUGUAGGCCAUCAUUACCUAUUUAAUCCAGGCUGAAUCACAUCCGGCGCACAAUUGGCACAGCGUCGUCCGGGAGCGCUGUGCUAGGCAUCUGUGGGAGAAUCAUCACGCCCCGAGCAAGAGUGUGUGUGCUGCACGUGGUCGCUGGAGCGAGACACACUCCAAUGCUGAUGUUAGCCGACAUUCCCCUCAGGCCAGAGAAUGGAGCAUGCGUGGAGACAGUUGCCCCCCCCCACACACACACACACUGUGAGUCAUUAUGUAAUAGCGUUGCAUGAAAACAUAAAGGAGGAAAGAAGAGGAGAAUAAUAGAGUAUGUAAACUACAUGUUCACUCUGAUGCACAAGCACACACAUAUAUGUCCCUAGAGUGACCACUAAAGCCAAGUAUCCACUUGUUUUUGACCUAAGCCAAGCUAUAUUGAAAUUGCUCAUGAGCAUCCUGAUGAAAAUGCAGUCCAGUCCUUUUAGGGAUUUUAGGAUCUGCUUCUCAUCUUCUCAUCCUAUGAAUACUAUAACCCAGAUUUAACAUCAGACUGCCCUUCUAUCAACUGGUUAUGGCUUGUCCCAAAUGGCAUCCUAUCCACUAUAUGGGCCGGGGUCAAAAUAAGUGCACUAUGUAGGGCAGGGGUGCUCAACUCUUAACCUACGAGGUCCAGAGCCUGCUAGUUUUUUCUUCUACAUGAUAAUUAAUUGCACCCACCUGGCGUCGUAGGUCAAUAUUAGUCCCCGAUUAGAGGGCAACAAUGAAAAAACACAGUGGAACUGGCUUCGAGGUCCAGAGUUGAGUUUGAAGGAUAUAUGGAAUAGCGUGCCAUUUGGGACACAACGUACAUCACAAUGUGAAUUGGAACAGUCAUAUUUCAUGUUUAGUAGAUGGUAGAAUCGCUUAACGCGGUUACGUAACUGUUGCCCUACCUUCCUGGGCUAUGUGUAGUAUGUCAUGGAUGGAGAGGAGGUGGGGGUUAUUGUGCUCCUGCCUAUCUGGAAGCUCUUAUCAUAGGAAGCCAGGUUGUCUGCCCCACUUAGAACACUGAGAAAGGCUUUAAUUAAUAAUAAUUGAUUAUAGCUCUUUUCUACCGAGGAACUCAUAGUAAGGGGAAAACUCACCUCCUCCACCACCAAAUGUGCAGCUUCCACCUGGGUGAUGCACAGCAACCAUUUUUGUGCCAGAACAUUCACCACACAUCAGCUGAUAUAUGCCAAUUAGGAAUAAGAGGGAUGAUGGAAUGGGGAAUUUAGGCAUGACACCAGGGUUAACACCUCUACUCUUACAAUAAGUGCCAUGGGAUUUGAAUUGACCACAGAGAGUCAGGACACCCGUUUAAAGUCCCAUCUGAAAGACGUGGUGGUAUGCUGCUGGCUUACCUCUGAAGCUAAGCAGGGUCGGCUGCUUUAGUGCUGAGGAUUUAGAACAUAGGCUACCACAGUGCACAACCUUUCCCUGAAGAAUUCAAAAGUUAGUGUAGGCUAUAGGAAAAGAGGGCAUUCCUUGGCCCCCAUUGUCCCCCAGAGACCCGUGAAUGGUAUGUCAUCCUCCCAUGAAAAUAUACAGGUUGUUUGGACCGACAGAUCACUUUCCCUCACAGAUAAGUCCACAGGGCCAGUGUGUUUGGACCGACAGAUCACUUUCACUCACAGAUAAGUCCACAGGGCCAGUGUGUUUGGACCGACAGAUCACUUUCACUCACAGAUAAGUCCACAGGGCCAGUGUGUUUGGACCGACAGAUCACUUUCACUCACAGAUAAGUCCACAGGGCCAGUGUGUUUGGACCGACAGAUCACUUUCCCUCACAGAUAAGUCCACAGGGCCAGUGUGUUUGGACCGACAGAUCACUUUCACUCACAGAUAAGUCCACAGGGCCAGUGUGUUUGGACCGACAGAUCACUUUCACUCACAGAUAAGUCCACAGGGCCAGUGUGUUUGGACCGACAGAUCACUUUCCCUCACAGAUAAGUCCACAGGGCCAGUGUGUUUGGACCGACAGAUCACUUUCCCUCACAGAUAAGUCCACAGGGCCAGUGUGUUUGGACCGACAGAUCACUUUCCCUCACAGAUAAGUCCACAGGGCCAGUCUGUUUGGACCGACAGAUCACUUUCCCUCACAGAUAAGUCCACAGGGCCAGUGUAUGUGCAAGAGCCAGCGUAGCAGAUGUGUAUCCAGUCAAGAUAAAAUAGACACAGACAGCGCAAAUCAACAUGCCUGUAUCAUUUUCCCCUCUGAUUCCUUUUUUUUGUCUCAAAUCUAUCCUCUUAAUAUGCCGCCGAUAUUGUUUCAAGAUGCACUCCCUCAUCGAGAUAUGCUCCCCAUGUACAAAAAUAGUGGUUUUUAUGCUAGAUUUGCAAGAUGGGUUCAGUCUUUUUAUAUGUAGUGCUAUGUUAAACCAAGAGAGGGCAGGAGUAUACAGACACACAAACACACACCACCAAUUUCUCAAUGAUCAGUGGGGAAAUAACUCUCUCUACCUACCACAAUGAGCAUACACAUAGGUCAAGUAUGAUCUAUCCAAGCAAAACAAAUAACCAUUUGAUGAGGAUUAAUUUACUGACACAAGAGAGAAGUCACGACCGGGCUGAUGGAAACAGGAAAUGCAGGUACGAUUUUAUAAAUGUCGAGAGACAGUUUGUUUGUUAAACAUGAUGGGAUAUGUUUGUGUUGGUUAAAUUAAUUAUGUGAGAAAUGUCAGUGCACAAAUCUUUAUAUAAUAACCAUCAUAUCGAAGUCCAUUUGGGCGUCACACCAUGUUGCAUGGUCCUCCCACUACGAUUUGGGAAAGCCUGCAGUUAAUUAGGCUACACAUUGAAAAAGCAGGGGCUCAACUUUGGUUUAAGAAAUGAGGGGGACAUUAUUAUUAUUUAUUUUUUUGUCAGAUAAACACUCCAAACAGCCUACCCGACCGCUCGGAGGCAUCCGCAUGCUCCUACAGCACACCGUUGCAUCGUUCAUUUCACAAUCCAAUGAUAAAACUGUGUGUGGGGGGAGGGGGUGGAAGUUGCACCCCUGGAAAUAAGCAAUGAUGAACUUCACAGGGUUGUGAAAGUGCACAGUUAUGACUUUAAUGCUCCUUUCCAAUAAACAUUGAGGGUUUUAUUCCGGUGAUAUGAUUAUCAAUGCUUGGCUGCCAUUUGACAAAUAAAAUAAUCUCGCUCUUAUCCAUAAUAAUCUCAUCAUGUAGGUAGCCUAACCGUACCGUAUUUGCGAGCUGUUGGCUAGAGUGCACAUACUAAGACCAGAGUGGGCACAUUUGCUAUGUAACGCAACACUUUUUGUGACAAAACCAUCAGUAGA